GAUCCCCCACACUGGUACUGAGACACGGACCAGACUCCUACGGGAGGCAGCAGUGAGGAAUAUUGGACAAUGGGAGCAAUCCUGAUCCAGCCAUGCCGCGUGCAGGAAGACUGCCCUAUGGGUUGUAAACUGCUUUUAUACAGGAAGAAAAAGCCCGACGUGUCGGGUGUUGACGGUACUGUAAGAAUAAGGAUCGGCUAACUCCGUGCCAGCAGCCGCGGUAAUACGGAGGAUCCAAGCGUUAUCCGGAAUCAUUGGGUUUAAAGGGUCCGUAGGCGGGAUGAUAAGUCAGUGGUGAAAGUUUGCGGCUCAACCGUAAAAUUGCCAUUGAUACUGUUGUUCUUGAGUGCUUGUGAAGUGGUUAGAAUGAGUAGUGUAGCGGUGAAAUGCAUAGAUAUUACUCAGAAUACCGAUUGCGAAGGCAGAUCACUAACAAUUCACUGACGCUGAUGGACGAAAGCGUAGGUAGCGAACAGGAUUAGAUACCCUGGUAGUCUACGCCGUAAACGAUGGUUACUAGCUGUUCGGUACGAUUGAGUACUGAGUGGUUAAGCGAAAGUGAUAAGUAACCCACCUGGGGAGUACGUUCGCAAGAAUGAAACUCAAAGGAAUUGACGGGGGCCCGCACAAGCGGUGGAGCAUGUGGUUUAAUUCGAUGAUACGCGAGGAACCUUACCAAGGCUUAAAUG
This 689-nucleotide ribosomal RNA is filed under the name uncultured Bacteroidota bacterium. RNAcentral describes it as "bacterial SSU rRNA". It matches the Rfam family "Bacterial small subunit ribosomal RNA", at positions 302 to 987 of the family's 1533-position model. The record is from RNAcentral. Lineage: Bacteria; Pseudomonadati; Bacteroidota.